RNAcentral lists this small nuclear RNA (198 nucleotides) under Hydra vulgaris (swiftwater hydra). Its description in RNAcentral is "U2 spliceosomal RNA". The stretch from base 1 to 109 matches the Rfam family "U2 spliceosomal RNA". Rfam says of the family: U2 is a small nuclear RNA (snRNA) component of the spliceosome (involved in pre-mRNA splicing). The record is from Rfam by way of RNAcentral. Lineage: Eukaryota; Metazoa; Cnidaria; Hydrozoa; Anthoathecata; Hydridae.
AUCGCUUCUCGGCCUAAUGGCUUAGAUCAAGUGUAGUAUCUGUUCUUAUUUGGGCUCCGGACCAUCUUUCAAUUGGUUACGGUAUUGCUAGAAAGCAGAAACAACACAAGAUCGAAACCGUGACAGUCGAUAAAGGUUCUUGGCGUAGUCGCUUUUUUAGUAUCUCCUUCUACGUCCGGAAAUCUCAAGGCGAUUUCU